UCCGGCAUAGUGUAGGGGUUAACAUACCCCGCUUUCAAGACUCUUCUGUCUAUAUAAGCACCCGGGGAGCCCCGGGUUCGAUUCCCGGUACCGGAA
Molecule: transfer RNA, 96 nt
Filed under: Lachnellula occidentalis
Lineage: Eukaryota; Fungi; Ascomycota; Leotiomycetes; Helotiales; Lachnaceae
Rfam family: tRNA
About the family: Transfer RNA (tRNA) molecules are approximately 80 nucleotides in length. Their secondary structure includes four short double-helical elements and three loops (D, anti-codon, and T loops). Further hydrogen bonds mediate the characteristic L-shaped molecular structure. tRNAs have two regions of fundamental functional importance: the anti-codon, which is responsible for specific mRNA codon recognition, and the 3' end, to which the tRNAs corresponding amino acid is attached (by aminoacyl-tRNA synthetases). tRNAs cope with the degeneracy of the genetic code in two manners: having more than one tRNA (with a specific anti-codon) for a particular amino acid; and 'wobble' base-pairing, i.e. permitting non-standard base-pairing at the 3rd anti-codon position.
Source: Rfam by way of RNAcentral